This 87-nucleotide transfer RNA is filed under the name Candidatus Kaiserbacteria bacterium CG10_big_fil_rev_8_21_14_0_10_47_16. RNAcentral describes it as "tRNA-Leu". It matches the Rfam family "tRNA". Rfam says of the family: Transfer RNA (tRNA) molecules are approximately 80 nucleotides in length. Their secondary structure includes four short double-helical elements and three loops (D, anti-codon, and T loops). The record is from RNAcentral. Lineage: Bacteria; Candidatus Kaiseribacteriota.
GUCCAGGUGGAGAAAUUGGUAGACUCGCAUCCUUGAGGGGGAUGUGCCCUCACGGGCGUGCUGGUUCAAGUCCAGUCCUGGACACCA